UACGGAGGGUGCGAGCGUUGUCCGGAAUCACUGGGCGUAAAGGGCGCGUAGGUGGCGCGAGGAGUCUGUGGUGAAAGCCCGAGGCUCAACUUCGGGUCGGCCGCGGAUACUCUCGUGCUGGAGGGUGGUAGAGGCCAAUGGAAUUCCGGGUGUAGCGGUGGAAUGCGUAGAGAUCCGGAAGAACACCGGUGGCGAAGGCGGUUGGCUGGGCCACACCUGACACUGAGGAGCGAAAGCGUGGGGAGCGAACAGG
RNAcentral lists this ribosomal RNA (253 nucleotides) under uncultured bacterium. Its description in RNAcentral is "partial 16S ribosomal RNA". It matches the Rfam family "Bacterial small subunit ribosomal RNA", at positions 524 to 776 of the family's 1533-position model. The record is from RNAcentral.